CCUACGGGUGGCAGCAGUGAGGAAUAUUGGUCAAUGGGAGAGAUCCUGAACCAGCCAAGCCGCGUGAGGGAAGACGGCCCUAUGGGUUGUAAACCUCUUUUGCCGGAGAACAAAACCCGGGACGAGUCCCGGACUGCGUGUAUCCGAAGAAACAGCAUCGGCUAACUCCGCGCCAGCAGCCGCGGUAAUACGGAGGAUGCGAGCGUUAUCCGGAUUUAUUGGGUUAAAAGGGUGCGUAGGCGGUCUGUUAAGUCAGCGGUAAAAUUGCGGGGCUAAACCCCGUCGAGCCGUUGAGACUGGCAGACUGGAGUUAGCGAGAGGUACGCGGAAUGCGCGGUGUAGCGGUGAAAUGCAUAGAUAUCGCGCAGAACUCCGAUUGCGAAGGCAGCGUACCGGAGCCAGACUGACGCUGAGGCACGAAAGCGUGGGGAUCGAACAGGAUUAGAUACCCCUGUAGUC
RNAcentral lists this ribosomal RNA (459 nucleotides) under uncultured bacterium. RNAcentral's name for it is "partial 16S ribosomal RNA". It matches the Rfam family "Bacterial small subunit ribosomal RNA", at positions 338 to 795 of the family's 1533-position model. The record is from RNAcentral.